This 73-nucleotide microRNA precursor is filed under the name Myotis brandtii (Brandt's bat). RNAcentral describes it as "mir-9193 microRNA precursor family". It matches the Rfam family "mir-9193 microRNA precursor family". Lineage: Eukaryota; Metazoa; Chordata; Mammalia; Chiroptera; Vespertilionidae. The record is from Rfam by way of RNAcentral.
CUGGGGGUUGGGGGGCCCUCAGCCCGGAUUGCGAGAGGGUGCAGGCCAGGCUGAGGGACCCCACUGGUGCACG